GUCGAACGGUAACAGGGAGCUUGCUCCGCUGACGAGUGGCGAACGGGUGAGUAAUGCAUCGGAACGUGCCGUGUAGUGGGGGAUAACGUAGCGAAAGUUACGCUAAUACCGCAUACGCCCUGAGGGGGAAAGUGGGGGACCGCAAGGCCUCACGCUAUACGAGCGGCCGAUGUCGGAUUAGCUAGUUGGUAGGGUAAAGGCCUACCAAGGCGACGAUCCGUAGCGGGUCUGAGAGGAUGAUCCGCCACACUGGGACUGAGACACGGCCCAGACUCCUACGGGAGGCAGCAGUGGGGAAUUUUGGACAAUGGGCGCAAGCCUGAUCCAGCCAUGCCGCGUGAGUGAAGAAGGCCUUCGGGUUGUAAAGCUCUUUCAGACGGAAAGAAAUCGGUGUGUCUAAUACACGCACUGGAUGACGGUACCGUAAGAAGAAGCACCGGC
RNAcentral lists this ribosomal RNA (441 nucleotides) under Betaproteobacteria bacterium. RNAcentral describes it as "bacterial SSU rRNA". It matches the Rfam family "Bacterial small subunit ribosomal RNA", at positions 61 to 497 of the family's 1533-position model. Lineage: Bacteria; Pseudomonadati; Pseudomonadota; Betaproteobacteria. The record is from RNAcentral.